RNAcentral lists this ribosomal RNA (261 nucleotides) under Triticum aestivum (bread wheat). RNAcentral describes it as "partial small subunit ribosomal RNA". Lineage: Eukaryota; Viridiplantae; Streptophyta; Magnoliopsida; Poales; Poaceae. The record is from RNAcentral.
AUGAAUCUCGCCAAGGAGAAGGUGAAGGACGCGGCGAGCGAGGCGAAGGCCAAGGCCAAGAUCACGCAGGCCAAGGUGGCCGAGAAGACGGAGGCGGCGACGGCGAGGUCACACGACGAGCGUGAGCUGGCGCACGAGCGUGGCAAGGCCAAGGUCGCCGCAGCCGAGGCGGAGCUGUACCAGGCCAAGGUGACCCACCGCGAGGAGGCCAUGGAGCACCGCCUCCACAAGCGCGGGCACAAGCACGGCGGCGGUCACUGA